RNAcentral lists this ribosomal RNA (233 nucleotides) under uncultured bacterium. Its description in RNAcentral is "partial 16S ribosomal RNA". It matches the Rfam family "Bacterial small subunit ribosomal RNA", at positions 15 to 240 of the family's 1533-position model. The record is from RNAcentral.
GAUCCUGGCUCAGGAUGAACGCUAGCUACAGGCUUAACACAUGCAAGUCGAGGGGCAUCAGGAAGAAAGCUUGCUUUCUUUGCUGGCGACCGGCGCACGGGUGAGUAACACGUAUCCAACCUGCCGAUGACUCGGGGAUAGCCUUUCGAAAGAAAGAUUAAUACCCGAUGGCAUAUCUGAAAGGCAUCUUUCAGCUAUUAAAGAAUUUCGGUCAUUGAUGGGGAUGCGUUCCA